GAUGAACGCUGGCGGCGUGCUUAACACAUGCAAGUCGAACGAUGAAGCCCAGCUUGCUGGGUGGAUUAGUGGCGAACGGGUGAGUAACACGUGAGCAACCUGCCCCUGACUCUGGGAUAAGCGCUGGAAACGGCGUCUAAUACUGGAUAUGUCCCGUCACCGCAUGGUGUGCGGGUGGAAAGAUUUUUCGGUUGGGGAUGGGCUCGCGGCCUAUCAGCUUGUUGGUGAGGUAAUGGCUCACCAAGGCGUCGACGGGUAGCCGGCCUGAGAGGGUGGCCGGCCACACUGGGACUGAGACACGGCCCAGACUCCUACGGGAGGCAGCAGUGGGGAAUAUUGCACAAUGGGCGGAAGCCUGAUGCAGCAACGCCGCGUGAGGGAUGACAGCCUUCGGGUUGUAAACCUCUUUUAGCAGGGAAGAAGCGAAAGUGACGGUACCUGCAGAAAAAGCACCGGCUAACUACGU
Molecule: ribosomal RNA, 466 nt
Filed under: uncultured bacterium
Lineage: Bacteria
Description: partial 16S ribosomal RNA
Rfam family: Bacterial small subunit ribosomal RNA
Source: RNAcentral